UAGUAUUAUAAUUAAGGCAUCUUGUUGUAUUAAAGCUAUUGGCGGGACUAAGGAUGAGCGUGUGCAAGAUUUAGCUAGUUGGUGAGGUAACGGGCUCACCAAGGCGACGAUCUUUAGCUGAUGUGAGAGCAUGAUCAGCCACACGGGCACUGAGACACGGGCCCGGACUCCUACGGGAGGCAGCAGUGAGGAAUAUUGGUCAAUGGACGGAAGUCUGAACCAGCCAUGCCGCGUGAAGGAUGAAGGCGUUCUGCGUUGUAAACUUCUUUUAUUUAGGAAGAAACCACCGAUUUCUAUUGGUGUUGACGGUAUUAAAUGAAUAAGCACCGGCUAACUCCGUG
RNAcentral lists this ribosomal RNA (341 nucleotides) under uncultured bacterium. Its description in RNAcentral is "bacterial SSU rRNA". It matches the Rfam family "Bacterial small subunit ribosomal RNA", at positions 173 to 507 of the family's 1533-position model. The record is from RNAcentral.